RNAcentral lists this ribosomal RNA (816 nucleotides) under uncultured cyanobacterium. RNAcentral describes it as "bacterial SSU rRNA". It matches the Rfam family "Bacterial small subunit ribosomal RNA", at positions 45 to 904 of the family's 1533-position model. Lineage: Bacteria; Bacillati; Cyanobacteriota. The record is from RNAcentral.
UGCUUGCACAUGCAAGUCGAACGGGCUCUUCGGAGCUAGUGGCGGACGGGUGAGUAACGCGUGAGAAUCUGCCCUUAGGACGGGGACAACAGCUGGAAACGGCUGCUAAUACCCGAUGUGCCGAGAGGUGAAACAUUUUAUGGCCUGAGGAUGAGCUCGCGUCUGAUUAGCUAGUUGGUGGGGUAAGAGCCUACCAAGGCGACGAUCAGUAGCUGGUCUGAGAGGAUGAUCAGCCACACUGGGACUGAGACACGGCCCAGACUCCUACGGGAGGCAGCAGUGGGGAAUUUUCCGCAAUGGGCGCAAGCCUGACGGAGCAGGACCGCGUGCGGGAGGACAGCCUAUUGGUUGUAAACCGCUUUUGAUAGGGAAGAAGCUCUGACGGUACCUAUCGAAUCAGCAUCGGCUAACUCCGUGCCAGCAGCCGCGGUAAUACGGAGGAUGCAAGCGUUAUCCGGAAUUAUUGGGCGUAAAGCGUCCGUAGGUGGUUGUUCAAGUCUGCUGUUAAAGCGUGCGGCUUAACCGCAUAUCAGCAGUGGAAACUGGACGACUAGAGUGCGGUAGGGGUCAGGGGAAUUCCCAGUGUAGCGGUGAAAUGCGUAGAUAUUGGGAAGAACACCGGUGGCGAAAGCGCCUGACUGGACCUGCAUUGACACUGAGGGACGAAAGCUAGGGGAGCGAAAGGGAUUAGAUACCCCUGUAGUCCUAGCCGUAAACGAUGGACACUAGGUGUUGCCCGUAUCGACCCGGGCAGUGUCGUAGCCAACGCGUUUAAGUGUCCCGCCUGGGGAGUACGCUCGCAAGAGUGAAACUCAA